CCUACGGGAGGCAGCAGUGAGGAAUAUUGGUCAAUGGACGAGAUCCUGAACCAGCCAUGCAGCGUGAAGGAUGACGGCCCUACGGGUUGUAAACUGCUUUUAUAUCGGGAUAAAACACCUUAUGCAUACGCUUUUGUAAGUACCAUAUGAAUAAGGAUCGGCUAACUCCGUGCCAGCAGCCGCGGUAAUACGGAGGAUCCGAGCGUUAUCCGGAUUUAUUGGGUUUAAAGGGUGCGUAGGUGGAUUGUUAAGUUAGUUGUGAAAGUCUGAGGCUCAACCGUAAAAUUGCAGUUGAAACUGGCAGUCUUGAGAACAGUAGCGGUGGGCGGAAUGUGUGGUGUAGCGGUGAAAUGCUUAGAUAUCACGAAGAACUCCGAUUGCGAAGGCAGUUCACUGGACUGCAACUGACACUGAGGCUCGAAAGUGUGGGUAUCAAACAGGAUUAGAUACCCUAGUAGUC
This 460-nucleotide ribosomal RNA is filed under the name uncultured bacterium. RNAcentral describes it as "partial 16S ribosomal RNA". It matches the Rfam family "Bacterial small subunit ribosomal RNA", at positions 338 to 795 of the family's 1533-position model. The record is from RNAcentral.